This 252-nucleotide ribosomal RNA is filed under the name uncultured bacterium. RNAcentral's name for it is "partial 16S ribosomal RNA". It matches the Rfam family "Bacterial small subunit ribosomal RNA", at positions 524 to 776 of the family's 1533-position model. The record is from RNAcentral.
UACGUAGGCAGCGAGCGUUGUUCGGAAUUACUGGGCGUAAAGAGUGUGUAGGCGGUGCUCUAAGUUCGGUGUGAAAUCUCCCGGCUUAACUGGGAGGUGCGCCGGAAACUGGAGUGCUCGAGGAUGGGAGAGGAAAGCGGAAUUCCCGGUGUAGCGGUGAAAUGCGUAGAUAUCUGGAGGAACACCGGUGGCGAAGGCGGCAUCCUGGACCAAUUCUGACGCUGAGGAGCGAAAGCCAGGGGAGCAAACGGG